CUUUACCUACGGGACGCAGCAGUAGGGAAUCUUCCACAAUGGGCGAAAGCCUGAUGGAGCAACGCCGCGUGGGUGAAGAAGGUCUUCGGAUCGUAAAACCCUGUUGUUAGAGAAGAAAGUGCGUGAGAGUAACUGUUCACGUUUCGACGAUAUCUAACCAGAAAGCCACGGCUAACUACGUGCCAGCAGCCGCGGUAAUACGUAGGUGGCAAGCGUUAUCCGGAUUUAUUGGGCGUAAAGGGAACGCAGGCGGGCUUUUAAGUCUGAUGUGAAAGCCUUCGGCCUAACCGGAGUAGUGC
RNAcentral lists this ribosomal RNA (299 nucleotides) under uncultured bacterium. RNAcentral describes it as "partial 16S ribosomal RNA". It matches the Rfam family "Bacterial small subunit ribosomal RNA", at positions 331 to 624 of the family's 1533-position model. The record is from RNAcentral.